This 794-nucleotide ribosomal RNA is filed under the name uncultured soil archaeon. RNAcentral's name for it is "bacterial SSU rRNA". It matches the Rfam family "Archaeal small subunit ribosomal RNA", at positions 77 to 865 of the family's 1478-position model. The record is from RNAcentral.
UUAGGCGCACAGCUCAGUAGCACGUGGCUAACCUGCCCUUGGGACCGAGGCACCCUCGGGAAACUGGGGCUAAUCUCCGAUAGGUGAAGACUUCUGGAAUGGGUUUUUGCCUAAAGGGCGCUUAGGGCAUGCUUCUAGGCGUUGCCCAAGGAUGGGGCCGCGGCCGAUCAGGUUGUUGGUGAGGUAACGGCUCACCAAGCCUUUAACCGGUGCGGGCCGUGGGAGCGGAAGCCCGGAGAUGGGCACUGAGACAAGGGCCCAGGCCCUACGGGGCGCAGCAGUCGCGAAAACUUCGCAAUAAGCGAAAGCUUGACGGGGCUAUCCCGAGUGCCAUCCGCUGAGGACGGCUUUUCCCUAGUAUAGAUAGCUGGGGGAAUAAGGAGAGGGCAAGUCUGGUGUCAGCCGCCGCGGUAAUACCAGCUCUCCGAGUGGUGUGGAUGAUUAUUGGGCCUAAAGCAUCCGUAGCCGGCUGGGUAAGUCCCCUGUUAAACCCAGCGAUUCAAUCGUUGGUCUGCGGGGGAUACUGCUCGGCUAGGGGGCGAGAGAGGUCGUCGGUAUUCCCGGGGUAGGGGUGAAAUCCUAUAAUCCCGGGAGGACCACCAGUGGCGAAGGCUGUCGGCUAGAACGCGCCCGACGGUGAGGGAUGAAAGCUGGGGGAGCGAACCGGAUUAGAUACCCGGGUAGUCCCAGCUGUAAACGAUGCAGGCUAGGUGUUAGAGCGGCCACGUGCCGCUCUAGUGCCGCAGGGAAGCUGUUAAGCCUGCCGCCUGGGGUUAGGCUGAACUUAAAGGCCA